GUAGGUGAACCUGCGGAAGGAUCAUUACAAAUUAUAGCGUGGUGCGUGGAUUAUGAUUGUUAAAGAUUGUAAUCGCGCACUACAUAAGCCCACUCCUGAAAGGGAGAUGGACGCAUGCAGCAAUGUGUGCAAAUAGACAUUAAAUCAUGACUUAUUCCAAAAAGAAAAUAACCAAAACUUUUAACAAUGGAUCUCUUGGCUCUU
This 204-nucleotide unclassified non-coding RNA is filed under the name rhizosphere metagenome. Its description in RNAcentral is "partial ribosomal RNA internal transcribed spacer region". The record is from RNAcentral.